Molecule: ribosomal RNA, 488 nt
Filed under: uncultured bacterium
Lineage: Bacteria
Description: bacterial SSU rRNA
Rfam family: Bacterial small subunit ribosomal RNA
Source: RNAcentral
GAACGCUGGCGGCAGGCCUAACACAUGCAAGUCGAGCGGUAACAGAAAGAAAGCUUGCUUUCUUUGCUGACGAGCGGCGGACGGGUGAGUAAUGCCUGGGAAUAUGCCUUAGUGUGGGGGAUAACUAUUGGAAACGAUAGCUAAUACCGCAUAACGUCUUCGGACCAAAGAGGGGGACCUUCGGGCCUCUCGCGCUAAGAUUAGCCCAGGUGGGAUUAGCUAGUUGGUGAGGUAAAGGCUCACCAAGGCAACGAUCCCUAGCUGGUCUGAGAGGAUGAUCAGCCACACUGGAACUGAGACACGGUCCAGACUCCUACGGGAGGCAGCAGUGGGAAUAUUGCACAAUGGGGGAAACCCUGAUGCAGCCAUGCCGCGUGUAUGAAGAAGGCCUUCGGGUUGUAAAGUACUUUCAGUCGUGAGGAAGGCAUUGUAGUUAAUAGCUGCAGUGCUUGACGUUAGCGACAGAAGAAGCACCGGCUAACUUCGUG